UUCUCUUGUUUUCAGUCGUUCAUGAUUCAGUCAUUGUUCCAUCACAAAACGCACUAACCGGUUCUGCAGGCCCUGGGAUCUCAACUGCACUGGGGACACUGCCGCCCUGGUUCCUGGGGUCAGGGGGUUACAGGCAAAGGCCCCAAGUGAUUCCCUAAAGACCUGGCCAGGAAUGCCUGAGUCUGGCCAAAAGGGCUUCCUAGGAAAGGGCCCACGUGCCGCGGCAGAAGCCACACAGCCAUGCUGCACCCCAGAGAGCGCCAAAGAAGAUCGACUGACAACUGCAACAUGCAACGUGCCAGAUUUCUCUGGCAGUGCUCCAGCUAGUCAGAGCCAAUUAAUAUGAAACCAAUAGGCCAAAUCAACGUUUUCAGAAGUUAACUCAAAAAAAUCCCAGAAGAUUAACCAGCCUGUGGCCUUUGCUAUGAAAUUGUUACCACACCACUUUCUUUUCUUUUGAAAGUCCAGAUGGGCAGAUAAAUCCAAAGUGGAUCAACCACAUCUGCCAUUCCUCCACACAAAUUACACCCCCUCCCACAACUUCCCUCUUCCCUCUCCAGCAUGCAAAGCACUCAGGGCCUGGGCUGAAUUGACAUUUUAUGCCAUGCUGUAUGUUUUGAAUUCCUCAUUGUAUUAUGAGGAACUGCAUCAUGACCCCUCUGAGGCAAAGAGCUGGCAGAUUCUGAAAUUUGCCUUCUCCAAAGGUGAGAACUGCAUUUAUGGAGGGACGGCUUUCUUCCAGGCACGAAAUGAGCCAAGAGUAGAACCCAGCCCCGUUGGCUGCCUUCUCCAGUGUUCUGAACUGGUAUUCAAAUCAGCAAAGUCCAGGUUGUUCUGCCUUUCUGGAACUUGCAACUCUGAGGCUUCAGCAAGAAGAGGAUCUGCCAGGGCGGAUUUGAUGCAACAAAAGAGAGUGUCCCUGGUGUGUUUUAAUUAGGCGAUUGGUCUCCAGUCAUGUAGCCUCAUUGGGAGCUGUUUCUUCUACAUGUUCUGCUGGCUUCUCCUCUACCUCUUCCUCCGCUUCUUGGGGAUAGAGAUCUGGAUAUUCCUGCCUGCCUUCCUGCAUGGCUCAGAACUGAUCUACACAGUCUGACCCCUUGACCUGCUCAUGUUAUGGUGGAAGCAGGAAAAGGCUGCCUUGAACUGUUCCCUGUAGGAGCCGUUGGCCAUUCCCCCAAGGAAGAGGCAGUGCCAAAGUCUCCCAUUUGGCAGCAUCAAUCCAUGCUCCUCCUAGGGAGGGAUCGUUGGGGUCAUCAGCCACCAGCUCUGCAUUGCUUGGAGUUUUGUAGUCUUCUUUGGUCACAAAUAUGAUUCGAUCCUUCUGUUCCUGUCAGCAGUAGGACAUGGCUGCAGCCCAGCCCUUAGACCUCAUAGAAGGAACAGUGGCUGUUGCAGCUUCACGUGAUGACCUCCCUCUCCUCAGGCAGGGCAGGUGCCUCUGAGGCCUGUGCAGACCGGAGAUAAAUUACUUAAUCUUCCUGGAUCUCAAUUUUUUUUGUCUGUGGAAUGGAUUAAAUCAUAGCCAUUCCCUGGCAGAGUUAUUGAGAGGACUGCACGAGGUAAUGAAGGUGAAGCCUCCGGCCAAGAGUGAGUGUCCACACACCUUCACCCUCAUUCCCUUUUGACUUGGCUCCUUCAUGAGGCACUUUCUGUUAUCAGUUAAUGCAGAACCAAUAAAGGACAUGAGGACCCUUGACCAUCAGUAAACUGAUGCUCAAGGAUCCCUUUCUUGCAUCUCAUUGACUCUUCGACAAAUGAACCUUUUCCCUCUUGAACAUCAGCUGAUCAUCUUUUGAAAGGCCCUGCCUCAAUUCUGAAACUCUAAUCUGUCUUAAAAGUAGCAGUGAUGGGAGACAUCCUUCAUCUCUAUGUGAUCUUCAAGAGAAUGUAUCUAAAGUUUCUCCAAUGAGUAUGAUGUUUGCAAUAGAUUUUUGAUAUGAAACCUUUAUCCUUGGUUGCUGAAAUUCAUGUUUGUUUUUGUUUUCUCUUGUGAUCAGAAGUAGACACUGAACAUAUCACAUGAUUUUCUUCACGUAUCAGGUAAUCAUAUGCAGUUUUCUUUUAUAUAUUGAUACAGAUAAAUUAUUUUUAUAGAUUAUCUGAUGUUAAAACAUACAUUCAUUCCCCCCAAA
This 2132-nucleotide long non-coding RNA is filed under the name Pan troglodytes (chimpanzee). RNAcentral describes it as "lncRNA (ENSPTRG00000053958.1)". The record is from RNAcentral. Lineage: Eukaryota; Metazoa; Chordata; Mammalia; Primates; Hominidae.